RNAcentral lists this small nuclear RNA (157 nucleotides) under Chelonoidis abingdonii (Abingdon island giant tortoise). Its description in RNAcentral is "U1 spliceosomal RNA (ENSCABG00000021128.1)". The stretch from base 19 to 152 matches the Rfam family "U1 spliceosomal RNA". Rfam says of the family: U1 is a small nuclear RNA (snRNA) component of the spliceosome (involved in pre-mRNA splicing). Its 5' end forms complementary base pairs with the 5' splice junction, thus defining the 5' donor site of an intron. The record is from RNAcentral. Lineage: Eukaryota; Metazoa; Chordata; Testudines; Testudinidae.
AAAGGUUAGGAGCAGCAGAAACUGGGGGCUUCAACUAGAAACAGCUGAACAACUGGCUCCUCCAUUGCACUGCGGGUGUUCUGACCCCUGCGAUUUCCCCAAAUGUGGGAAACUUGACUGCAUAAUUUGUGGGGGACUGUGUUCGCGCUCAAAAAAA